RNAcentral lists this transfer RNA (85 nucleotides) under Planctomicrobium piriforme. It matches the Rfam family "tRNA". From Rfam's summary of the family: Transfer RNA (tRNA) molecules are approximately 80 nucleotides in length. Their secondary structure includes four short double-helical elements and three loops (D, anti-codon, and T loops). Lineage: Bacteria; Pseudomonadati; Planctomycetota; Planctomycetia; Planctomycetales; Planctomycetaceae. The record is from Rfam by way of RNAcentral.
GCCGAAGUGGCGGAAUCGGCAGACGCGCUGGAUUCAAAAUCCAGUAUGGGUAAACCAUGUGGGGGUUCGAGUCCCCCCUUCGGCA